CACAGGUUUUCCACAAUAAGCAGGCCACUCCUCCUUCCAUCUCCAAUGGGCUUUGGGAAAGGUAUAAAAGCGCCACAACCAUCUUCUGCGUCAGGACCAGUUGAAGUGCAAUAUUGAAGCCUGUACUGUACGAUUCAGGAUCCAGACUCUAACCUCAAGGCAUGUUGACCAGGAAUUUUCUCAUCCUCUGCUCUCUGGCAGUUCUGCUAGUACAAGCUGACUUCGAUACUAAUAACAAUCAUGCUGCCCAAGCCAUGUCCACAGAUAAGGACUCAACCUCGGAGGAAGCUCCAACUGAGAGCAUAAAUGCCAUCUCCUCGGAUCAGCCUAACGAUAAACCACAGUAUUACAAUGAGGGAUUGCUGAUGUAAGCAGCACAAGUGAAGAGCUCCUAAACCUAAUGGCGUCACUGGACCUGGUGUUGCAGCAAACAGUGUUGAGGACCAGGAGGAGGAUGAAAGCUCAGAUGAAGGUCUGAAAAAAAAUUAUGUUCCUCCUCCUCCUCCUCCUACGCCUCCUCCUCCUCCUCCUCCUACUCCUGCUCCACAACAAAACUCAGGAAAGUUAGUUGGGCCAGCAGGUGGGAACCGGAGAAAGGCCCCAGCCCCACAACAAAAGAGGAGAUCACGACCCUCCCGCCGUCAGCAGUGAAAUGCCAAAAAGACACACAGAGGCAAACAUUUACUUUUAGUUAAUUGCAUAGAAGAAGAAACAUAUUGUAUCCAAUUACUGUAUAUGCCAUAACAUGAACGUGUACAGAACCGUACUCGCAUGAUGAAGCUGCUUUGAUGUAUCUUGAGCAGCAGAACAGUCAGCAAGACAUGACAUAUUGUUUACUGUUACGUCUGUGGAAAAACUCAGUGGUAUGUUCAAUACAAACUCAUGGGCAUUUCUCUGUGAAUAAAAUGUAGGAUUAAAUGAACAAUGUAUUGUGAUGACAUAAAACCAGGCCUAAUAUCAUAACUGACCUUGACAUUAAGAGCCGCUGAAACUGCUCUAAAUUCACCAACCUGUUUCAAAAUAGCAAGGACCUCACUCCCAUGAAAAUACCUCAAUUUCUAAAAGAGCGCACACAUCGCACCAAAUGUCGAUCGCCGUUCGUUCGGCGUGGUGUGUUUUAUGGACCACUUGCCGGUGGGCGUCUGACUGCCAACAUUUUCGCGUGGUUUGCACUCGGUUUGCAAAUUACAGCUGGCACUCUGUUCAGAGGUGCUAAGUACUCUCGGCUGGCAAACGCUACCGGUGUGUCAGUGCCUUUAGAGAGACUCUUGCUAUUUUGAUCAUGAGCCAGUUGGUGGAAAUAUGGAGUUACAAACUAGCAAUACAAACUGUUGUUAGCUAAAGUGAAAAGACUAGAUAUUCUUUACAGAAAAAGGCUAAAGAAACCCCAUAAUUUCUCUCAGAGUUGAGGAGGAUACCUUUGACUGAUGCUGCCUACCCAAAGACUGUUAUACUGUCCUCAGUCAGCAUAUCUUUUAGUGGAUAGCCUUUCAAAACAACCCUGCUCUCGAACACAAAACCAGUGUUUCAAUCAAAAGUGUUUCUUUCUUUUUUGUUAUUGUCAUUUUUAUACACACAGUAUUCAACACAUUAUGUAUGAAACAUGUUUGAUGAAUAUCAAUUUCAAAACAUGUUUAAGUGUAAACCUCUGUAUCUUACAUCAUAUCUUUCUAAAUAAACUUCUUUGAGC
This 1690-nucleotide long non-coding RNA is filed under the name Salmo salar (Atlantic salmon). RNAcentral's name for it is "lncRNA (ENSSSAG00000092244.1)". Lineage: Eukaryota; Metazoa; Chordata; Actinopteri; Salmoniformes; Salmonidae. The record is from RNAcentral.